CUGGUUAAUCUUGCUAGUAGUCAUAUGCUUGUCUCAAAGAUUAAGCCAUGCAUGUGUAAGUAAGAACUAAUUCAGACUGUGAAACUGUGAAUGGCUCAUUAAAUCAGUUAUAGUUUGUUUGGUGGUAUUUGCUACUCGGAUAAUCGUAGUAAUUCUAGACUUAUACGUGCAACCAACCCCGACUUCUAGAAGGGAUGCAUUUAUUAGAUAAAAGGUCGAUGCGGGCUCUGCCCGUUGCUUCGAUGAUUCAUGAUAACUCAAUGGAUCACACGGCCAUCGUGUCGGUGACGCAUUAUUCAAAUUUCUUCCCUAUCAACUUUCGAUGGUAGGAUAGUGGCCUACAAUGGUGGUGAUGGGUGUCAGAGAAUUAGGGUUCGAUUCUGGAGAGGGAGCCUGAGAAACGGCUACCACAUUGAAGGAAGAUGGCACGCACGCAAAUUACCCAAUCCUGACACGGGGAGCUAGUGACAAUAAAUAACAAUACCAAGUUCUAGACAAAUCUUUAAAGACAGGGAUUUGAACCUUAAGCGGAGAUG
RNAcentral lists this non-coding RNA (536 nucleotides) under Cephalotus follicularis. RNAcentral describes it as "Eukaryotic small subunit ribosomal RNA". It matches the Rfam family "Eukaryotic small subunit ribosomal RNA", at positions 4 to 544 of the family's 1831-position model. Lineage: Eukaryota; Viridiplantae; Streptophyta; Magnoliopsida; Oxalidales; Cephalotaceae. The record is from Rfam by way of RNAcentral.